AACGAACGCUGGCGGCAUGCCUAACACAUGCAAGUCGAACGAGACCUUCGGGUCUAGUGGCGCACGGGUGCGUAACGCGUGGGAACCUGCCCUUAUGUUCGGAAUAACUCCCCGAAAGGGGUGCUAAUACCGGAUAAUGUCUUCGGACCAAAGAUUUAUCGCCUUUGGAUGGGCCCGCGUUGGAUUAGCUAGUUGGUAGGGUAAAAGCCGACCAAGGCUACGAUCCAUAGCUGGUCUGAGAGGAUGAUCAGCCACACUGGGACUGAGACACGGCCCAGACUCUUACGGGAGGCAGCAGUGGGGAAUAUUGGACACCGGGCGAAAGCCUGAUCCAGCAAUGCCGCGUGAGUGAUGAAGGCCUUAGGGUUGUAAAGCUCUUUUACCCGGGAUGAUAAUGACAGUACCGGGAGAAUAAGCUCCGGCUAACUCCGUG
Molecule: ribosomal RNA, 433 nt
Filed under: uncultured bacterium
Lineage: Bacteria
Description: partial 16S ribosomal RNA
Rfam family: Bacterial small subunit ribosomal RNA
Source: RNAcentral